UCCUGGUUAACCCAGGCAGUCUCGUUAGAGUUCCCGCCAUUACGCGUUGGCAACUAACGAUAAGGGUUGCGCUCGUUGCUGGACUUAACCAAACACCUCACGGCACGAGCUGACGACAGCCAUGCAGCACCUAUGUAAAGACCCUUUCGAGAAACAUCAUCUCUGAUGUCGUCCUCUACACUUCUAGCCCAGGUAAGGUUCUUCGCGUUGCAUCGAAUUAAACCACAUGCUCCACUGCUUGUGCGGGCCCCCGUCAAUUCUUUUGAGUUUCACCCUUGCGAGCGUACUCCCCAGGCGGUAUACUUAAUGCGUUAGCUCCGGAACAAGGGGGGUUGAGCCCUCUUACUCCUAGUAUACAUCGUUUAAGGCAUGGACUAC
This 378-nucleotide unclassified non-coding RNA is filed under the name uncultured Chlamydiales bacterium. Its description in RNAcentral is "contains 16S-23S intergenic spacer region". Lineage: Bacteria; Pseudomonadati; Chlamydiota; Chlamydiia; Chlamydiales. The record is from RNAcentral.